GAUGGGGAACUGGCCGCCGGCUGGGUCUAACCCAACUGCCAGAAAGACCGCCGGCCAGGAGCAGCCGGGUAGCUGUGUAUUCCCAUCAGCAUUUGAAUAA
Molecule: long non-coding RNA, 100 nt
Filed under: Capra hircus (goat)
Lineage: Eukaryota; Metazoa; Chordata; Mammalia; Artiodactyla; Bovidae
Description: lncRNA (ENSCHIG00010013180.1)
Source: RNAcentral